This 401-nucleotide ribosomal RNA is filed under the name uncultured bacterium. RNAcentral's name for it is "bacterial SSU rRNA". It matches the Rfam family "Bacterial small subunit ribosomal RNA", at positions 975 to 1375 of the family's 1533-position model. The record is from RNAcentral.
CAGGCCUUGACAUCCAAUGAGCUUUCCAGAGAUGGAUUGGUGCCUUCGGGAGCAUUGAGACAGGUGCUGCAUGGCUGCCGUCAGCUCGUGUCGUGAGAUGUUGGGUUAAGUCCCGUAACGAGCGCAACCCUUGUCCUUAGUUACCAGCACGUAAUGGUGGGCACUCUAAGGAGACUGCCGGUGACAAACCGGAGGAAGGUGGGGAUGACGUCAAGUCAUCAUGGCCCUUACGGCCUGGGCUACACACGUGCUACAAUGGUCGGUACAAAGGGUUGCCAAGCCGCGAGGUGGAGCUAAUCCCAUAAAACCGAUCGUAGUCCGGAUCGCAGUCUGCAACUCGACUGCGUGAAGUCGGAAUCGCUAGUAAUCGUGAAUCAGAAUGUCACGGUGAAUACGUUCCC